CCCGUGAGAAGUAUUCUUGGAAUUUCAAGUCUGUCCUAACCAAGAAGCCUUAGAAGUGUCAGGCAUCAGCCUGCUCUUGCAAAAAUUCCCAGUCAGUCUAAAGAGCAUGAAGCUUUAUAACUGUGGAGAGAUCUACAACAGGUUCUAUCCUACCACACUAUUUGUGAAAUUUUAUUGCUACUGGAGUUGCAAAAGGAAUAUGCUUUGGCUGAGCUUUAAGAUUGUCUGUGGCUGAUGCCGUAUCUGCAGGACGGAAGGAACCAUCUCUGCUUGGAAAGCCACCAGGAGGAGGCCUGGCCUUCCCAGGAGAGCACCACGAGCAGCAAAGAGGCUCUUGCAACCAUUGGAUACCUCUUUCUGCUCCAAAGAUGAGAUUAAUGCCCAAUUCUGUGACCAUUUUUCCUCUUCCUCCUGUUUGCUCCACUGCAAAGUCAGACAGCUUAGUAUGAACUCCCUUCAAAGAAGCAUCGUUUUAGCUGCUGAAUCAGCUGCAAACAAGAAGGUUGUGGUGCAUCCAGCUGAUACUGGUGAGAUCUUAGGUACAGUUGUCAGCAAAAUCACCUGUUCAAUAACUUGCAUGAGAAAAGAAAAUAAACGAUAGUGGGAACUGCACGCUUUCUUCUGCAUUGGUCUUCACUUCAGUGAAUCAGAGGGCAGCAGGAGCACUGCAAGAUAAAUUUACAUUUCAUAGUGGGAAACAAACCAUCCCACAAAGAUAUGAUAAAUCAUCAGAGGAACAACGAGGUGCCAUGACACAUGCAUAUGUUUUUCUACAGUCACAUGAAAUGAAGAUAUGAGGCACACAACCCAAUCUCCAUCUCAAAGGUUUGUUAACCAUAGUCAAGCCUGACUGCAUAAAGAGCAGUCUCACUGAAAUUUCAAGUGUGGAUUUUUUUUUUUCCAACAGUAAUUCCCCAAUUCUUUUUUUUUACUAAUGUUUCUUGGACAAUCCACUAACCUAGUUUUCAAAUCAUGAGAAUUCUUAAGACUUUGUUAUAUAGGUACAAGGGUAACAUAGACUUACUUCCAGUGAUAUUUUGAUUACAGAGAGGAAAAAAGGCUGCCAUUCCAGCAAAACAAGUUCUGUAAGAGGAUUAUUUGUUCUGGUUCAACAUCACUGACUUGUGUGAGCAUAGAACAGAUAGAAGUUUGGACAAAUAAGUUUGUGGAAACAAAUGAAAAAUUUCCAUAGAAAUAUUAUUUUGACAAAGAAGUAGUUUCUAUAAAAGCAAAUGAACAAAUUCCAUGUAAAAAAUGUUGAUUUCCUCUUUUUUUUUUUAAGGGUUUAUCUUUUUUCCCUUAGAAAACCAAACCAAUCCAUUUGACCCAAAUUAGAGUAUGGGGGAGGGGUGUUGAAAACUGAGCCAGAUUGUUUUAAAUCAACUGACUUGGCAUAAAACUACAUUUCCUACCAAUGCUUUUACUUUGCCAAUCAUAGCUUCAAUUCCCCAUCUCUUUUGGGCCAGCCUCCCUAGAAGACCAUAUAUCCUAUAAAGUAAUAAAUGGAUUUCACUGACACA
RNAcentral lists this long non-coding RNA (1520 nucleotides) under Numida meleagris (helmeted guineafowl). RNAcentral's name for it is "lncRNA (ENSNMEG00000011114.1)". Lineage: Eukaryota; Metazoa; Chordata; Aves; Galliformes; Numididae. The record is from RNAcentral.